Long non-coding RNA from Salvelinus fontinalis (brook trout), 4002 nucleotides. RefSeq lists it as uncharacterized. Lineage: Eukaryota; Metazoa; Chordata; Actinopteri; Salmoniformes; Salmonidae. The transcript has 3 exons. The record is from RefSeq and is a predicted model, not a curated record.
CCGGUAGCCCAAUGACAACAGUCGGGUCUGCAGCUGCCAUUUUCCAUUGGGAAAGAGAAAUAGCCCUAUUUUUACCAGAAAAGGUAGCUCAUCCACUAUGGCAGAAGAUGAAGAUUCAGACUGUUGAUUGGGAAACAAGAACAAAGGCAUGUUGAGGGACCACUUGCCACGUUGUCCAAGUUGGGUUUGUGUUAUGAUAAACAAUGCAUUUUCUGUCCUGAUAAAGAUGAUGAUACAGCAUUGAAAAAGACCUACCAGUGCAUCCCUCAGACCAUUCGGUGCAUGGAUAUCCUGUGCCAGUGUGAUGACAUCCUGUACCAGUGUGAUCUGAGCGCAAGCGUCCAGUUGUAGAGACUACAGCAGAUCGAGCCUGUGGACAGACAGUCUAACAGGAGUGUAUCCUUCAGACCAUUCGGUGCAUGGACAUCUUAGGCCAGUGUGAAUGAGCACAAGCGUCCAGUGAUACUAGGCGGUGUCGGAGGAAGGCCCAAAAAUUGUCAGAGACUCCAGUCACCCAAGUCAUAGACUGUUCCCUUAGGUAACGCACGGCAAGCGGUACCAGAGUGCCAAGUCGAGGUCCAAAAGGCUCCUACCCCCAAGCCAUAAGACUGCUGAACAAUUCAUCAAAUGGCCACCCAGCGCAUGUGACAAACAGAAUUUUAUUCGAUUUUUUAUUUGAUUUGGAGACUACAGCACAUCGAGCCUGUGGACGGACAGACAUGAGGCGUGACAUACGGAACAUCAGACUCACCCCACGAGAAGCAGUGCAUGAUCAAUGACACCCUCAGCAGGGAGAUCUGCUGGUGGUGAUGUACUGUACUCUCUCACUCUGGUGAUAAGACAUAAUUUAAACAUCCCAGAUAUAAAUUCCCAAUGUACCCAUGAUAAAAUACAAUGUGAAUUCAGACCAGCCUUUGUGAUUGAAUUUACAUUAACUAAAUUACUUUAGUUGGCUGCUUUGAGCAAAACUUAAAUGUAAUAUAACCUAUUCUAGGAGCCUAUUGUUUGUAUGAUCUUUAUAUCUUGUUCACUUGUUUUUCAACAAUGUCAUGUACAGGCAGGGAUGACUGGGGCCUUCAGCAAGUAAGACACAGGUGUAAGAUAUAAUUUGAACGUCACAGAUUUAAAUUCCCACUGUGCCCAUGAUAAAGUUAACCACAUUUCUUUAGUUAGCUCUUUUGAACAAAACUUGUUUGCAGUGGUGAUUUUAGGAUGUAAAUCUUGGUGGGGCAAGCUCACACUGGCCUAAGAUGUCCAUGCACUGGACGGUCUGAAGGAUGCACUCCUGUUAGACUGGAAAACAAAGAGACAUUUGGUCAGUGGUAGGUCUUUUUUUAUAUGCAUGCCAGUAAAGCCAUUACACAACACAACACUAAACAAUGCAUUAAUUGGACUAUAACUGUGACAAACAGUGCCCACAAACUUUGAUGGCCUGCAUAAAGCUGUCCUAACAUAGCAGUCCCAAAACCUUACAACCACUACACAUGGCUGUCAGCGGAGCCUUGUCUGGCAGCAAAACACUUAACUCAGCCUCAUUUACUGCCUUUAAAAAAAAUAGCUGAUAUGGCUGACUUGCUUUAAAAUGUUUUGGUUUCUACUGACAAUUGAGAUGUACAAACAUUCGACGAUGACAUUUCUCUAAAACAGGCUAUAGGCUACAUGUGCACCACCAAGUCAAAACAGUAUGCUAAGUUAUGAAGGGAAAAGGGACCAAAUUAAUAGGGUGAGGCACAUGGGCUACUAACAGCUUACUACACAAGAUACACUUAGUGUUAAUCUUAGCUACAGUAUACAUAUCUCCCUGGCAUAUUACCUCAUUUAUGCAGCAGCAUACAAUUUUUGGAGUCAACUUGUUGUUCUCACUUGAAGAGGAAGGUGGAACGGCCUUCCUUUGUGGGCAAAUUUUGUCAUCAAACUUGGUCAUUCUCUGGAUUUAUGGUGCUUUCAAUACAACUGGAAACUCAUGACGUUAGUGAUCUUCAGGUUGGAGCUCUAGAAAGAGGCCUGAGUUCCCGACUUGGAAUUCUGAGUUGGAUGACCAUUCAAAACAUAUUUUCCCAGUUGGAGCUCGUUUUUUUCAGAGUUUCCAGUUGUCUUGAACUCAUUGAAGUCUGAGAUUUCCCAGUUCCGAGUUUCCAGUUGUUUUGAACGCAGCAGAGGUCAUGCUGGAUUGACAGCAUGGCCAAUGUUGAAUGUUUAGCCUUUUAAGCUUGGAAAAGAGACCCUUAAACCCAGACUUGGACCACACAACCACUCCACUGAAUAGCAGGCUAGUGAUUGCUUUGCAAUGCUUGCAGUUAGCCACUAAUUCCUUCCAAACUGCUCAUUGUUGAAUUUGCAAUUUCCAACUUGUUGUGUAAUGUUUAUAUCCAAUGGCCGACGAGCACCAAAACAUUUUAUCUAUAAUUUAUCUUUUUAAUUUAACUUCAAAUGACAAGGAUUGAAAAGGAUUUGCCAGUAGAUUGUUUACUUGAUUCAUGAUGACUGCUAGCUUGCUAGCUAAGAUUUUGAAAGUAUGAUGUUGACAUCAGUCCAAUCAAAGCUACUGUAGAUAUUGACGUCAUUUUGUCUGUGGCCAAUGACCUUGAGCCUUCUUGGAUGGGCACUUCUAAUGUAACUCUAUGGUAGCACCCAAUGGGCUUGGCUUUCUAGCUCUCCCUUUAGAUUUUGCGGUGACGUAGUGUCCCCAUGAGUGAGAAAACACUGAGCCAAUCAUGGCACAACUAGAAAACAUUACCAACCCCUACGCUCCGUAUUUUCUGCUGGCUCCCCCACAACCACAGAAAGCAAUGAGUUAGGCUGAAACGCCUGCAUUUUGGAACUGCCUUACACAAGAAAGCAAAAAAGAGACCAUGUUUGUUUGUGGCUUUAUUAACUCAAUUAUCAUUUUUUUCAUACUGAUAUGUGACACGUAUUAAUGCCAAAAUAACAUUCAAAACAGACAACAAAAAACAUUAGCUCAGCAAAAAAAGAAACGUCCCCUUUUCAGGACCCUGUCUUUCAAUGUUAAUUCGUAAAAAUCCAAAUAACUUCACAGAUAUUCAUUGUAAAGGGUUUAAACACUGUUUCCCAUGUUUGUUUAAUAAACCAUAAACAAUUAAUGAACAUGUACCUGUGGAACGGUCAUUAAGACACUAACAGCUUACAGACAGUAGGCAAUUAAGGUCACAGUUAUGAAAACUUAGGACACUAAAGAGGCCUUUCUACUGACUCUGAAAAACACCAAAAGAAAGAUGCCAAGGGUCCCUGCUCAUCUGCGUAAACGUGCCUUAGACAUGCUGCAAGGAGGCAUGAGGACUGCAGAUGUGGCCAGGGCAAUAAAUUGCAAUGUCCGUACUGUGAGACAGCGCUACAGAGAGACAGGACGGACAGCUGAUCGUCCUCGCAGUGGCAGACCACAUGUAAAAACACCUGGACAGGAUCAGUACAUCCAAACACAACUGCCCGAGUUACACCAGGAACGCACAAUCCCUCCAGCAGUGCUCAGACUGUCCGAAAUAGGCUGAGAGAGGCUGGACUGAGGGCUUGUAGGCCUGUUGUAAGGCAGGUCCUCACCAGACAUCACCGGCAACAACGUUGCCUAUGGGCACAAACCCAUCGUCGCUGGACCUGACAGGACUGGCGAAAAAUGCUCUUCACUGACGAGUCGCGGUUUUGUCUCACCAGGGGUGAUGGUCGGAUUCGUGUUUAUCGUCGAAGGAAUGAGCGUUACACCGAGGCCUGUACUCUGGAGCGGAAUCGAUUUGGAGGUGGAGUGUCCAUCAUGGUCUGGGGCAGUGUGUCACGGCAUCAUCGGACUGAGCUUGUUGUCAUUGCAAGCAAUCUCAACACUGUGCGUUACAGGGAAUGCCAAAAGUGUGCAAAGCUGUCAUCAAGGCAAAGGUUGGCUACUGAAGAAUCUCAAAUAUAAAAUAUAUAUUGAUAUGUUCAACACUUUUUUGGUAACUACAUGAUUCCAUAUGUGUUAUUUCAUAGUUUUGAUGUCUUCAUUAUUAUUCUACA